Molecule: long non-coding RNA, 185 nt
Organism: Anguilla rostrata (American eel)
Lineage: Eukaryota; Metazoa; Chordata; Actinopteri; Anguilliformes; Anguillidae
Exons: 3
Source: RefSeq, a predicted model, not a curated record
UGUGUGUAUGUGUACAUGAGUGUGUGUGUGUGUGUAUGUGUAUAUGAGUGUGUGUGUGUGUGUGUGUAUGUGUAUAUGAGUGUGUGUGUGGAUAUAUGAGUGUGGUGUGUGUGUGUGUAUGUGUAUCUGAGUGUGCAUGUGUGGGUGUGUCUAUGUGUAUCUGAGUGUGCGUGUGUGUGUGUGUG